ACCUGAUACUUUAUUACAUUUCUAGUGGCGGACGGGUGAGUAACACGUUGGAACCUGCCCCAAAGUGAGGAAUAAGCCACCGAAAGGUGGUCUAAUACUUCAUAAUAUCCAUCUCGUAUGGAUUAAAGCUUUAUGCGCUUUGGGAGGGGCCUGCGUAACAUUAGCUUGUUGGUGAGGGUAAAAGCUCACCAAGGCUUCGAUGUUUAACUGGUUUGAGAGGAUGACCAGUCACACUGGGACUGAGAUACGGCCCAGACUCCUACGGGAGGCAGCAGUAAGGAAUCUUCCACAAUGGGGCAACCCUGAUGGAGCAAUACCGCGUGCAGGAUGAAGCGUUUCGGCGUGUAAACUGCUUUUAUCACCGAAGAUUAUGACUGUAGGUGAAGAAUAAGGACCGGCUAACUACGUG
This 409-nucleotide ribosomal RNA is filed under the name uncultured bacterium. Its description in RNAcentral is "bacterial SSU rRNA". It matches the Rfam family "Bacterial small subunit ribosomal RNA", at positions 65 to 507 of the family's 1533-position model. The record is from RNAcentral.